AGAGUUUGAUCCUGGCUCAGAGUGAACGCUGGCGGCGUGCUUAACACAUGCAAGUCGAACGAUGAAGCUCUAGCUUGCUAGAGUGGAUUAGUGGCGCACGGGUGAGGAAUAUAUAGCUAAUGUGCCCCUUAGAGGGGGAUAACAGUUGGAAACGACUGCUAAUACCCCAUACUCCUUCUUGUCAUAAGACAAGUUGGGAAAGUUUUUUCGCUAAGGGAUCGGGCUAUACGGUAUCAGCUUGUUGGUGAGGUAAUGGCUCACCAAGGCUAUGACGCCUAACUGGUCUGAGAGGAUGAUCAGUCACACUGGAACUGAGACACGGUCCAGACUCCUACGGGAGGCAGCAGUGGGGAAUAUUGCACAAUGGGGGAAACCCUGAUGCAGCAACGCCGCGUGGAGGAUGACACAUUUCGGUGCGUAAACUCCUUUUAUAUGGGAAGAUAAUGACGGUACCAUAUGAAUAAGCACCGGCUAACUCCGUGCCAGCAGCCGCGGUAAUACGGAGGGUGCAAGCGUUACUCGGAAUCACUGGGCGUAAAGCGCGCGCAGGCGGCCCCUUAAGUUGGAUGUGAAAUCCUAUGGCUCAACCAUAGAACUGCAUCCAAAACUGAGGGGCUAGAGUCUGGGAGGGGAAGAUGGAAUUAGUGGUGUAGGGGUAAAAUCCGUAGAGAUCACUAGGAAUACCAAAAAGCGAAGGCGAUCUUCUGGAAUAGUACUGACGCUGAGGCGCGAAAGCGUGGGGAGCAAACAGGAUUAGAUACCCUGGUAGUCCACGCCCUAAACUAUGAAUGUUAGUCGUCGGGAAGCUUGUCUUCUCGGUGAUGCAGCUAACGCAUUAAACAUUCCGCCUGGGGAGUACGGUCGCAAGAUUAAAACUCAAAGGAAUAGACGGGGACCCGCACAAGUGGUGGAGCGUGUGGUUUAAUUCGAAGAUACGCGAAGAACCUUACCUGGCCUUGACAUUGAUAGAAUCUGCUAGAGAUAGUGGAGUGCCCUUCGGGGAGCUUGAAAACAGGUGCUGCACGGCUGUCGUCAGCUCGUGUCGUGAGAUGUUGGGUUAAGUCCCGCAACGAGCGCAACCCUCGUCACUAGUUACUAACGGUUCGGCCGAGGACUCUAGUGAGACUGCCUUCGUAAGGAGGAGGAAGGUGAGGACGACGUCAAGUCAUCAUGGCCCUUACGGCCAGGGCGACACACGUGCUACAAUGGGAUGUACAAUGAGACGCAAUACCGCGAGGUGGAGCAAAUCUAUAAAGCAUCUCUCAGUUCGGAUUGUAGUCUGCAACUCGACUACAUGAAGCUGGAAUCACUAGUAAUCGUAGAUCAGCCAUGCUACGGUGAAUACGUUCCCGGGUCUUGUACUCACCGCCCGUCACACCAUGGGAGUUGAUUUCACCCGAAGCGGGGAAGCUAAAUUGGCUACCCUCCACGGUGGGAUCAGCGACUGGGGUGAAGUCGUAACAAGGUAACC
This 1471-nucleotide ribosomal RNA is filed under the name uncultured bacterium. RNAcentral describes it as "bacterial SSU rRNA". It matches the Rfam family "Bacterial small subunit ribosomal RNA". The record is from RNAcentral.